This is a non-coding RNA of Podarcis lilfordi (Lilford's wall lizard), 283 nucleotides long. Lineage: Eukaryota; Metazoa; Chordata; Lepidosauria; Squamata; Lacertidae. The record is from the annotation of a GenBank genome assembly.
GUCCAACCCCCUGCAAUGCAGUAAUAUGCAGCUGUCACAUAUGGGGAUCGAACCUGCAACCUUGGCAUUAUCAGUACCACGCUCUAACCAACUAAACUACGCAGCAGUGGUAGAGCCAAUGCAUUGCACACAUAAGGUCCCAGUUUCAACCCCAGCAUUUCCUGUUAAAAGGAUUGGUUGGCAGGUGAUGGGAAGGGUCUUUCUCUGCCUGAGUACUUGGAAGGUUGCAGGUUCGAUCCCUGUAUGAGACAGCUGCAUAUUCUUGCAUUGCAUGGGGUUGCAU